Cydia pomonella (codling moth) is the source of this 607-nucleotide long non-coding RNA. RefSeq lists it as uncharacterized. The record is from RefSeq and is a predicted model, not a curated record. The transcript is spliced from 2 exons. NCBI's taxonomy places the organism in Eukaryota, Metazoa, Arthropoda, Insecta, Lepidoptera, Tortricidae.
UAUAAAUCGUACUGCAAGAUUUCGUAUUUGCCAUUUAUAAUAUUUUUGGUUCACAACAACAAAAAUUGCUCUUCUAUAUAACAAUUGCUAUGUUAUAUUUAUAUAUUAUAAUGAAGCAGCUGAGCAAUCACAAUUUAUCCAGCCAAAUUUACGACCUAAUAAAUUAUCCGUCAAAUCGGCAAUUUCUGAAGAUCGUCAUAAAACUCGCAACAAAAUCAUUUUCAGUUGAACGCCCUUCGCGCCCUGUGACAUUUACCAUCUCGUUGAGUCUAAGGCUUAACCAGUGUCCAGUGUAUCUCACCGAUCGAGACAGACUUCGAGGUCAAGAUAUAUUGGGUGAGCUAAAACUUCGACUCGGCCGUCGUGACGGGAACUCGGCCCCAAGAGGAUCCCUGGGCCCUGGGUCGUCGCCCGACCAGCUGACUCCCCUCAGGGCAAGGACCCUUGUAAGUACUUUUGCGUAAGGUGUAAAUGGCGAUAUAAGGAAGUGUGUAGCUUGACAAUCUUGACUUAAUCCGUGUUACCAGGUGUUAUGAGCAGAAAUUCUAAUUGAGAUUUGAACUUGGAAUUAGAGAAAGUUCGAAAUUCAAGUAUAUUCUAUUAUUGA